CCUACGGGUGGCUGCAGUGGGGAAUAUUGGACAAUGGGCGAAAGCCUGAUCCAGCCAUGCCGCGUGUGUGAAGAAGGCCUUCGGGUUGUAAAGCACUUUCAGUGGGGAAGAAAGCCUUGGGGCUAAUACCCUCGAGGAAGGACAUCACCCACAGAAGAAGCACCGGCUAACUCCGUGCCAGCAGCCGCGGUAAUAUGGAGGGUGCGAGCGUUAAUCGGAAUUACUGGGCGUAAAGCGCGCGUAGGCGGUCUGAUAAGCCGGUUGUGAAAGCCCCGGGCUCAACCUGGGAACGGCAUCCGGAACUGUCAGGCUAGAGUGCAGGAGAGGAAGGUAGAAUUCCCGGUGUAGCGGUGAAAUGCGUAGAGAUCGGGAGGAAUACCAGUGGCGAAGGCGGCCUUCUGGACUGACACUGACGCUGAGGUGCGAAAGCGUGGGUAGCAAACAGGAUUAGAUACCCUUGUAGUC
RNAcentral lists this ribosomal RNA (465 nucleotides) under Vreelandella stevensii. RNAcentral describes it as "partial 16S ribosomal RNA". It matches the Rfam family "Bacterial small subunit ribosomal RNA", at positions 338 to 795 of the family's 1533-position model. The record is from RNAcentral. Lineage: Bacteria; Pseudomonadati; Pseudomonadota; Gammaproteobacteria; Oceanospirillales; Halomonadaceae.